UCGGGAAUUUUGCGCAAUGGACGAAAGUCUGACGCAGCAACGCCGCGUGAGGGAUGAAGGCCUUCGGGUUGUAAACCUCUUUUGUCAGGGACGAUGAUGACGGUACCUGACGAAUAAGCCACGGCUAACUACGUGCCAGCAGCCGCGGUAAUACGUAGGUGGCAAGCGUUGUCCGGAUUUACUGGGCGUAAAGAGCGCGCAGGCGGUCGUUCAAGUCGCGUGUGAAAGCCCCCGGCUCAACUGGGGAGGGUCACGCGAUACUGGUCGACUCGAAGGCAGGAGAGGGUAGUGGAAUUCCCGGUGUAGUGGUGAAAUGCGUAGAUAUCGGGAGGAACACCAGUGGCGAAGGCGACUACCUGGCCUGUUUCUUGACGCUGAGGCGCGAAAGCUAGGGGAGCAAACGGGAUUAGAUACCCCCGGUAGUCCUAGCCGUAAACGAUGGACACUAGGUGUCGGUGGUAUCAACCCCGCAGUGCCGAAGCUAACGCAUUAAGUGUCCCGCCUGGGGAUAUGGCCG
RNAcentral lists this ribosomal RNA (517 nucleotides) under uncultured Acidobacteriota bacterium. Its description in RNAcentral is "bacterial SSU rRNA". It matches the Rfam family "Bacterial small subunit ribosomal RNA", at positions 355 to 888 of the family's 1533-position model. The record is from RNAcentral. Lineage: Bacteria; Pseudomonadati; Acidobacteriota.